GUCCGGCUGACUCCCCGUGCGCGUGCGUGGGGCGUGGCGCCGCGGCCCGCCCCAGCCCCGGAGCGGCCCGUCUGGCUGGUGCGCCCGGCUGGUUCCCUGACCAGGGAUCGAACCCAGGACUCCUGAACUGAGAGCAUGGACUCUUUGCCACUGGGCCACCAGAAAAGGAAGCACAAGAAAGGUUUGAAGAUAAGAGUUGAGUUCACCAUUUGCUAGUGGAUGACCUCGAGCAAAGUACACAGAAUUGCUGAUUCUUUUCCUCUAUGAAAUGGAGAUGUUAAACAGCCACCUACUCAGACUUACACGGGAUUUAUGUAUCAAAAGGGUUGUGGAAAUCAUAAAGUACUGCAUGGAUCUUAACUAAUUUUUAUUGGCCUUGCUAAUUAGUGUCUGCUGUCCAACAGAGUAGCCACACGUGACUGUUGAGCACUUGAAAUGUGGCUAGUCCAAAUGAGAUGCACUGUGAGUGUAAAAUAUAGGACAGCUAAGAUUUAGUACCAAGACAGAGUAUAAAAGUAUCUCCUGUAAUUUUUACACAAGUGACAUGUUGAUAUUAUUUGGAGAUAGUGAAUUAAAAUGAUGUUAUUAAAAUAAAUUCUGCCAGUCUGUUAUCUUUUUAAAAUAUAGUUACUAGAAAUUUUAAAUAUUACAUAUGUGAAUCACAUUUCUACUGCAUGUGCAUGAAUGUUAAGUUGCUACAGUCCUGUCCAACUCUUUGCAACCUGAUGAACUAUAGCCCACCAGACUCCUCUGCCCAUGGGAUUCUCCAGGCAAGAAUACUGGAGUGGGUUGCCAUGCCCUCCUCCAGGGGACCCGGGGAUUGAACCCGCAUCUCUUACAUCUCCUGUGUUGGCAGAAAGAUUCUUUACCGCUAGCACUGUGCUAUUCUAUAUCCUGUCUCCUAGCCAUCCGGGCCAGAAUAUUUCAAAGUUGUUAAGUACCUAUUUAUGAAAUAUGAUUGAUUUAAAGAAGAAAACUGUGUUGAAUAAAUGACUAUCCAUUUGUGUUGUACAUUAAAGUUCUAUAAAGUUA
This is a long non-coding RNA of Dama dama (fallow deer), 1032 nucleotides long. RefSeq lists it as uncharacterized. The record is from RefSeq and is a predicted model, not a curated record. The transcript has 3 exons. Lineage: Eukaryota; Metazoa; Chordata; Mammalia; Artiodactyla; Cervidae.